UCGGAUUUUUUUCUGUAAUGUGCUGACACCGUGCGCUACCUUAUUUCUUCAGAGGGAACGUGUGCGCACGGCAGGGAGCUCAUUCUGAUUCGUGCACCGCGUGUCACUCGCAGUAACCACUGGCGCCAGUGAAGGUUAUGGCGCAAUGUGAAACACAAUUCCGCCAGUAACACUGAUGAAACUCUGUGCACACGGCCAUAUAUUUGGUCACAUCUACCUGGUCACGUCUGUCCACGAGUAACGCCACGCACUUUCAGAGGCCUGCAGUUGUGCAUGUUAACAUUUUGGAGGUGUGUCUGUGGGUAAAUGAUUCUGUGGGCCAACAUGCACAAGCGCGUGGAUAUGGAGCUGAUUCUUUCUCUGGUCCCUCUGCCUGUGAACACCUGACUGGGCUGAACACUGACAAAAGCCAGAAUUUGGAGUGUUGCUACUUCAAAACUAACCAGA
Molecule: long non-coding RNA, 447 nt
Organism: Monopterus albus (swamp eel)
Lineage: Eukaryota; Metazoa; Chordata; Actinopteri; Synbranchiformes; Synbranchidae
Exons: 3
Source: RefSeq, a predicted model, not a curated record